UAUUCACUACAUCGUGCUUAAUAUUGUAUGUUAUUACGGGCAAGUAAGGUUGUGACAAAUUUAUGAAAAAUGGUCUAAACAAUUUUUAAAAAAUAAGAAAAUUUGCCUGAAUUACGUAAUUUACUGUAGGUAAUUUAGCUAAAAGAAAAAAGAUAGAAAAAUAUUCGGUAGAAGAUGCAAUUCUGAUCGACACAUCAUUCUCAAAUGCAGUUGAACGCUGGAAGAAGAAUGAUACGUAUAGUUGAAAAUUUUAGAAUCCAUCGAAAUUUAUUACUUCCUAUUGGCUUAUGGCCUUACAAUCAAUCAAAAUUUGUUAACCUUCAAUUAUUACUGUUUAAUCUUAUUACAAAUAGCUUUAUUAUAUUUCAGCUUACAUCAUUUAUAACUGCGGAAUGUACUGUUGACCAUAUUCUUAAAGUUCUGUCUGUAAUGUUUUUUUUCCUUUUCUAUGAUGUACAUUACACUUCUUACUGGAUUAACGCAUAUGUUCUGAAAGGUUUUAUGGAGCGCCUCCAAUAUGUCUGCAACGAUUUAAAAGAUGAAAACGAAAUCGCUAUAUUCAAAAAGUACGAAAACAUUGCGGAACAUAUUGCCAUUAUACUUACAUCUUUUACGGCAUGCACCGUACUUAUUCUUUCUCUUUUGCCACUAUUGCCUUGGAUUCUUGGCACCUUUUUAUUCGCAAAUGAAUCUCACCCACUUUACAAUAUAAUUGAAACUGAAUAUUUCGUUGAUGAAGAAAAGACUUUUUAUUUGACUUUGCUGCACACGUAUGCAUCUCUUUACAUAGGAGUGACUGCUACGGUGGGAGGAGGAUUGGUAGUAUUAACAUACAUAAUACACAUUUGCGGUUUAUUUAGCAUUGCUAGUUACCGUAUGAAUCAAUUGCUGAUAUUAAAUAUUCACGACAAAACUAAUCUGAAAAACAAUAUGGACAUCGAUAAGAAGAUAGCUCGUAUAGUGGAUUUUCACUGCAUAGCCAUUGAGUUGUCUGAAUUUUAUGUAUCUAAUUUCAAUGGAACAUAUUUUUGUAUAAUAUUGCUAGUCGUAAUAUGUUUAAGUCUCAAUCUCUAUCAAGUCUUUCAAAGUGUAUUACAGCGAACGAGUGUAGAGAAAAGUGUAUUACACCUUAUAUUUGCAGUUACUGUUAUUAUAUAUUCCUUUGUGGCCAACUAUGCCGGUCAAGAAAUUAUAGAGCAUUAUAACGACAUGUUUUAUGUUGCAUACAACAUUCAAUGGUAUACGGCCCCUAUACGCAUACAGAGAUUGAUAUUGUUUCUGUUACAAAGGAGCUGUAAGAUUUACUGCCUCAGGAUAGGUGGGCUUUUUAAUGCAUCUUUAGAAUGCUUUGGUUCGCUGUUUGCUGCAUCCAUGUCUUACUUUACUAUGAUGUAUUCUAUACAGAAAUGAUAACAGAAUCAAUCACUUAAUAGCAAAUUGAAAAAACUAGACAGAUCACUUGUAUAUUUGUACGCAACAUCAACGGGGCAGUGCUCCUUUUAAAAACCGGGAGUACGUUACGAAUACGUGGAUUAAUGAGGAACGUGAAGACGUAUUACUGUUGGAAAAAUCAAUUCGGUGGCGUGAACUUCACUGAUAUCAUGACUAUUUUUCUCUGAGAAAUAAAUGUUCAAUAUUCUUACAGCGUAAAAUCGAUUAACCACCCUCUUUUUUCUCUCGCACAAAUUGCGGGCAAAUUAUUUCUAUAGCAUUUUCAUUUCAAUAUCAUUAUGUGGUUAUCCUAUAACAUUUCUAUAUCAUUAUAGUAUAUUCACUACAUCGUGCUUAAUAUUGUAUGUUAUUACGGGCAAGUAAGGUUGUGACAAAUUUAUGAAAAAUGGUCUAGACAAUUUUUAAAAAAUAAGAAAAUUUGCCUGAAUUACGUAAUUUACUGUAGGUAAUUUAGCUAAAAGAAAAAAGAUAGAAAAAUAUUCGGUAGAAGAUGCAAUUCUGAUCGACACAUCAUUUUCAAAUGCAGUCGAAUGCUGGAAGAAGAAUGAUACGUAUAGUUGAAACUUUUAGAAUCCAUCGAAUUUUACUACUUGCUAUUGGCUUAUGGCCUUUCAAUCAGUCAAAGUUUGUUCAACUUCAAUUACCACUGUUCGUUGUUGUUCCAAAUAGCUUUAUUAUAUUUCAGGUCUGUAAAUAUUUUGAAUUGUUUUAUUACGUAAUGAAAUACACAUAUACAAUUUGUAUUUCUAUUAUCAUUGCACUUGUUCCAUUCCAAGUACGAUUUAAUGUGUCGUUAUAUUACACUUACUUGUUAAAUGUAAAUUAUAGAAAUUAACGUUGCAAUUGUCACGCCAUGAUAUUAUACACGUUUAUAAUAUCAUUAUAUAUAAAAAAUAAUUGAAUAAUUUAUAUGUCAUACCUGAUAACCAUAUAAUUAUCAAUUUUAAUAAUUGCUGACUACAGCUGGCGCAAAGAAUUACAACUUAAUUUUUAAUCACUUAUUAAGCGAACGGUUAUGUUAUAAACAUAAUAAUUUGUUUUUCAUUUUACUUUUUAACUGUUCUGUGUAGAUUUCUUAUAUUGUUUCUAUAUAUUAUUCUAUAUAUUUAUAGAAAUUUCUAUAACUUUCUAUAAAUAUUGUCGCAAUACAAUGUGUUGGCAUCCGCAAAGAUAAAAAUUAAAAUUAACUUUUUAUUAAAAUUGCAUAAAAAAGAUUAUUAUAGUUCUUUUAGGUUUACCACUAACAAAAACCUAUGCUUUCAUAAUUAGAUACAAAUGCCGCUUUUAUAAUAUAGACCUUUAAUAUAUUCAUUAAUUGUAGCUUACGUCUUUUAUAACUGCCGAAUGUACUGUUGACCUUAUUAUUAAAAUUUUGUCUACAAUAUUCUUUUUUCUUUUGGGCGAAGUUCAUCAAAUUUCUUUUUGGGUUAACGCAUACACUGUAAGUUGAGCUUUUACUUUAAUAUAUUGCUAAACAUUUAAGAUAAAUAAGGCUUUAUAUACCAUAAGUUUUCAAAAGUUUAUCACAAUUUAUUUUAUCAAAAAGAAAUUGUCUGAUAUAUUAUUAAUAUAAUACGAUAGGUGAAGUGUUUUGUAAACCGUCUUCAAUAUUUCUGUAACGAAUUAAAAGAUGAAAACGAAAUCGCAAUAAUCAAAAAAUAUGGAAAUAGCGCGGAACAUAUUACGAUUGCAGUUACAUAUUAUAAACAUACAAAAACAUGUAAAUCCGAAGAGGAGCCAGAAAUAAGCAAAGUUAGUAUUCUGCAAGUAUAUUACAAAAAUACAGAAAAGUUGAACUGUUUUAUUGCAAAUGUACGCAAUCUUAUUCUCAAUUGUUAAAAAUGGGAUGAGCGAUCUUGCUCAACAGCAACAGUUACACAACUGUCUUAGCAGCAUGGACGCAACGACGUGACAACGCGGUAUGGCAGAGGAACACUCACGCACACUACCAGGCGCCUCACAGCGUGUAACUUCGAAAGAACGGCGCUGAUUCGCUGGAAUUUACUUAACAAUAACUCUUUCAUUAAGCAUCGUAAAAAAAUAGUUCAGGACUUUUCGACUCAACUUUCCAUAAGGAAUAACACUAUGUACUUCGUGGCCGCGAGAUAAGAAACACUCUGUAUAUACAUAUAUAUAUAUAUAUACACAUAUAUAUACAAAGCACCAACAAAAACAAAUGAAAAA
RNAcentral lists this unclassified non-coding RNA (3636 nucleotides) under Ooceraea biroi (clonal raider ant). RNAcentral describes it as "odorant receptor 24a, transcript variant X3". The record is from RNAcentral. Lineage: Eukaryota; Metazoa; Arthropoda; Insecta; Hymenoptera; Formicidae.